AUGUGUGUGGCUCAGUGGUUAAGAGCACUGACUGCUCUUCCAGAGGCCUGGGGUUCAACUCCCAGCAUCCACA
This 73-nucleotide transfer RNA is filed under the name Neotoma lepida (desert woodrat). It matches the Rfam family "tRNA". Rfam says of the family: Transfer RNA (tRNA) molecules are approximately 80 nucleotides in length. Their secondary structure includes four short double-helical elements and three loops (D, anti-codon, and T loops). Further hydrogen bonds mediate the characteristic L-shaped molecular structure. tRNAs have two regions of fundamental functional importance: the anti-codon, which is responsible for specific mRNA codon recognition, and the 3' end, to which the tRNAs corresponding amino acid is attached (by aminoacyl-tRNA synthetases). tRNAs cope with the degeneracy of the genetic code in two manners: having more than one tRNA (with a specific anti-codon) for a particular amino acid; and 'wobble' base-pairing, i.e. permitting non-standard base-pairing at the 3rd anti-codon position. Lineage: Eukaryota; Metazoa; Chordata; Mammalia; Rodentia; Cricetidae. The record is from Rfam by way of RNAcentral.